AGAGUUUGAUCCUGGCUCAGGACGAACGCUGGCGGCGUGCCUAAUACAUGCAAGUCGAACGCAUUUUCUUUCACCGUAGCUUGCUACACCGGAAGAAAAUGAGUGGCGAACGGGUGAGUAACACGUGGGUAACCUGCCCAUCAGCGGGGAAUAACACUUGGAAACAGGUGCUAAUACCGCAUAAUUCCAUCUACCGCAUGGUAGAUGGAUGAAAGGCGCUUUUGCGUCACUGAUGGAUGGACCCGCGGUGCAUUAGCUAGUUGGUGGGGUAACGGCCUACCAAGGCUGCGAUGCAUAGCCGACCUGAGAGGGUGAUCGGCCACACUGGGACUGAGACACGGCCCAGACUCCUACGGGAGGCAGCAGUAGGGAAUCUUCGGCAAUGGACGCAAGUCUGACCGAGCAACGCCGCGUGAGUGAAGAAGGUUUUCGGAUCGUAAAACUCUGUUGUUAGAGAAGAACAAGGAUGAGAGUGGAAAGUUCAUCCCUUGACGGUAUCUAACCAGAAAGCCACGGCUGACUACGUGCCAGCAGCCGCGGU
Molecule: ribosomal RNA, 541 nt
Filed under: uncultured Enterococcus sp.
Lineage: Bacteria; Bacillati; Bacillota; Bacilli; Lactobacillales; Enterococcaceae
Description: bacterial SSU rRNA
Rfam family: Bacterial small subunit ribosomal RNA
Source: RNAcentral